Molecule: ribosomal RNA, 332 nt
Filed under: Mantidactylus sp. 48 MV-2009
Lineage: Eukaryota; Metazoa; Chordata; Amphibia; Anura; Mantellidae
Description: partial 16S ribosomal RNA
Rfam family: Bacterial large subunit ribosomal RNA
Source: RNAcentral
UGUCUCCUUUUUCUAAUCAGUGAAACUAAUCUCCCCGUGAAGAAGCGGGGAUACUACUAUAAGACGAGAAGACCCCAUGGAGCUUUAAACCCAACUACACCCCUAUUUACAACAACUACUUAACCAAUUGGACACUGUAUGCUUGGUUUUAGGUUGGGGCGACCACGGAGUAAAAAAUAACCUCCACGAUAAAUGGGCUUACCCCCUUAUCUAAGAGCCACACCUCUAAGAAUUAAAAUAUUAAUAUAAUAUGAUCCUUUCUUGAUCAACGGACCAAGUUACCCUGGGGAUAACAGCGCAAUCCAUUUCAAGAGCCCCUAUCGACAAAUGGG